GAUGAACGCUGGCGGCGUGCCUAAUACAUGCAAGUCGAGCGAACAGACGAGGAGCUUGCUCCUCUGACGUUAGCGGCGGACGGGUGAGUAACACGUGGAUAACCUACCUAUAAGACUGGGAUAACUUCGGGAAACCGGAGCUAAUACCGGAUAAUAUAUUGAACCGCAUGGUUCAAUAGUGAAAGACGGUUUUGCUGUCACUUAUAGAUGGAUCCGCGCCGCAUUAGCUAGUUGGUAAGGUAACGGCUUACCAAGGCAACGAUGCGUAGCCGACCUGAGAGGGUGAUCGGCCACACGGGAACUGAGACACGGUCCAGACUCCUACGGGAGGCAGCAGUAGGGAAUCGGCCGCAAUGGGCGAAAGCCUGACGGAGCAACGGCGCGUGAGUGAUGGAGGUCUUCGGAUCGUAAAAAUCUGUUAUUAGGGAAGAACAAAUGUGUAAGUAACUAUGCACGUCUUGACGGUACCUAAUCAGAAAGCCACGGCUAACUACGUG
This 497-nucleotide ribosomal RNA is filed under the name uncultured bacterium. RNAcentral describes it as "partial 16S ribosomal RNA". It matches the Rfam family "Bacterial small subunit ribosomal RNA", at positions 28 to 507 of the family's 1533-position model. The record is from RNAcentral.